UACGUAGGGGGCAAGCGUUGUCCGGAUUUAUUGGGCGUAAAGAGCGUGUAGGCGGCCAAGCAGGUCAGCUGUGAAAACUCGAGGCUCAACCUCGAGACGUCGGUUGAAACCGUUUGGCUAGAGUCCGGAAGAGGAGAGUGGAAUUCCCGGUGUAGCGGUGAAAUGCGCAGAUAUCGGGAAGAACACCCGCGGCGAAGGCGGCUCUCUGGGACGGUACUGACGCUGAGACGCGAAAGCGUGGGGAGCGAACAGG
This 253-nucleotide ribosomal RNA is filed under the name uncultured bacterium. RNAcentral's name for it is "partial 16S ribosomal RNA". It matches the Rfam family "Bacterial small subunit ribosomal RNA", at positions 524 to 776 of the family's 1533-position model. The record is from RNAcentral.